Molecule: microRNA precursor, 154 nt
Filed under: Amborella trichopoda
Lineage: Eukaryota; Viridiplantae; Streptophyta; Magnoliopsida; Amborellales; Amborellaceae
Description: MIR8565 microRNA precursor family
Rfam family: MIR8565 microRNA precursor family
Source: Rfam by way of RNAcentral
CCCCCACCCAUGUGUGUAGGACCUCAAAGGAUCACCAUUAAAGUUGGCACAGAUCUCUAGAAAAGUUAUUACAUGGGUGUAGGACUUGCCUUUUCUAUAGAUCCGUGUUAAAUUUAAUGAUAAUCCUUUGGGAUCCUACACACAUGGGUGGGGG